UACGUAGGGUGCAAGCGUUAAUCGGAAUUACUGGGCGUAAAGCGUGCGCAGGCGGUUGUGCAAGACCGAUGUGAAAUCCCCGGGCUUGACCUGGGAAUGGCAUUGGUGACUGCACGGCUAGAGUGUGUCAGAGGGGGGUAGAAUUCCACGUGUAGCAGUGAAAUGCGUAGAGAUGUGGAGGAAUACCGAUGGCGAAGGCAGCCCCCUGGGAUAACACUGACGCUCAUGCACGAAAGCGUGGGGAGCAAACAGG
This 253-nucleotide ribosomal RNA is filed under the name uncultured bacterium. Its description in RNAcentral is "partial 16S ribosomal RNA". It matches the Rfam family "Bacterial small subunit ribosomal RNA", at positions 524 to 776 of the family's 1533-position model. The record is from RNAcentral.